Molecule: unclassified non-coding RNA, 205 nt
Filed under: plant metagenome
Description: partial contains small subunit ribosomal RNA, internal transcribed spacer 1, and 5.8S ribosomal RNA
Source: RNAcentral
GUAGGUGAACCUGCGGAAGGAUCAUUAUUGAAGUUGAUUCGGGUUGUCGCUGGCUCUCAGGAGCAUGUGCACGCUCGUUCAUAUUCAUUCUCUCUUGUGCACCUUUAGCUAGACUAUGAAUACCUCUCGAGUGAAAAUCUCGGAUUGAGGGCUGCACCUAACCGUGCUUCCCUUGCAUUUUCAUAGUCUAUGUCUUCAUAUACCC